Long non-coding RNA from Triticum dicoccoides, 2451 nucleotides. RefSeq lists it as uncharacterized. The transcript is spliced from 3 exons. The record is from RefSeq and is a predicted model, not a curated record. NCBI's taxonomy places the organism in Eukaryota, Viridiplantae, Streptophyta, Magnoliopsida, Poales, Poaceae.
CCCAAAUCACGCCGACAACAAAAUCCCCUUUCUUUACUUUACUAUUCUCUUUGUGAUUUGGGUAGGGUGGGCAAGGGAGAUCCCAGGAGGACGCGUCGUGCUACUCGACAUCUUCAUGGUUGGCGCGGCCGGGGCGACGGUGCUGGAGGUUGGUGGUGCGGAGGAGGCGGUGACUGACCUGACGAAGGGUGCACAUGUUCGCGGAUUUCCCAGCGAUUUGGUGUGUGCCGAUCUUCCAAGCCAUUCUGACCGUGGAGGCGACCGGGUGUUCGAGCAGCUGUUCUUGCUCUGGCCACCAGUGAGAUCGCAUAUCGUCGUCGCGGAUAAGGAAAGGUGGAUGCCAGUCGCCUGGGAGAUCACAGGUGCUGGCAGAGAGCUUUGGCGUUGUGUAGAAUGGCCUCUCGUUCCUUGACGCUUAGGUUGAUGAAGAGCGACAGAUAUCCCAUCCAAUGAGUGGUGAGAGAUAUCAUGCAGGAUGGAGUACCGGUUCAUGGAUUUCCUGGACAAAAUUGUUCUACUGGGUCAAGCUGUUGGUGCCAGGGCAUCAAUGCCAAGGUGGCAUAGGACAGAGAAUAAUUGUUUACCAGGGCAAGCUAAUGGAGAAUAACUGGAUCAGCGGCACAGUACAGAUGGUGGACUACUGCUAUGGUCUAUUAGAGGUGUGUGAGUAACGGAGGCAGAUUCAUAUGAGGAGAUAGCGAAAUAAAUAAAUAGCACCAAGAUGUGAGCAACAUGUUUGGCCAACCACUGUGUUUUUGCCCUCCUCAUCGUCGGUGUUGUUGGACUUCUACCACAUUAGCAAUGGAUAUUAUUUUACCGUGCCCAAGAUCCGACUCUUCAUCUUCAUGCCUUCCUAAUUGUUUGUACUGCUGGACUUUUACCACCAUAAGUGUUAUUUCUCUGUAUCCUUCCUAAUGCAAAUCAUCUUUGUGCUCCUUCCUAAGAUUUCUAUAUUACUCGUACUAUAAUAUUGGAAUUUUUCUCAUGGUACACUUGAAUAGAAAAUGCAACAUGAUAGAAGAAUUGUUACCAAGAACAUAGAACUCCCAAAAGUAUAUGUCUAACUAUAUUUCAAAUAAAUACAAUAUGACAUGCUUUUCAUAGUGUUAAUGUCUCCUUAUAUUGGUUGAUCUAAAGAAAGUAUUCAGUCUAUUCUAGACUAAGGACAUAAUGCUAUUGCAAUAUAAUAAGUUUUCUUCUUAUCUUUGUAGAUGUCAAGUACACUUACUGUAUAUAUCUUGGUAAGUAAAAUAUGUUGCCCUAUUAUUUAAUUGAUAAGCUACUGAUGCACCAAUUUUCUAGAUAAUUUCCUCGCUGUCCUAGGCUUCGGUUUACGUACUUCAUCUUCAUCUUCAAGCCUUGUAUUGUUUCGGCUGACAUCUUUUCCCUUGCUUUCUGGCAAACAUGCUCCGUGCAUUCUCCUCUGAUUCAUCUGAUAUUACAACAUAUCCCGGUCUUCUUUUCUUGUCACCGUGGAACUCACGUGACGAUGAUGUUAUUUUGUCUUGAUGCCCAUCUUUGUUUAUUUUAGUCACAUUACUAUUGGGUGGUUCCUAUUUCAUUCGCACCAGACACACCGUAGUUUGGUAGUUGAAACAUUAUUAUUCUGUGACUGCAAAAUAAAUAUAAAUUUAAAAUUAGACACAUUUAUAAAAAUCUAGAAGUGUAUACAGUGGAAAAACCAAUCACCAUUUUAUCGGUGCAUGUUCUGCUUCUUCCUUUCAUGUUUUAACACAGUGUCCACCUCAUCAUCCAUCAAUUUCAAUGCAAUAUAUGUAAGGUGAAUUAGUUAGGGAAUUCUAGACACGAUACUUAAUUUUUGAAAAAAAGUUAAAUGCACCUUUACCUCAGCUUUAUCAUUCAAGUAGAGCAUCUCAAGCCUAUCAUUGAGCACAAAUGUUCUUUUUACUACAUAGUUUUCUGUGCCAAAGAUGAUAUUACAUCCAUUCAACUUGGCAUUUCAUUUCCCAUUGAAUUAUCUCAGCAAGUUAGAGAUAGAUGUAUUAAGCAAGCUUGGAGCGUCCUUUUCAAAUAAAGUGCAACUUGUAGUAGUUUUAUGCUCACUAAUUUGGAGUCGAAUACAAUACCUACCACACCAUUCAUGUUAGUGAAUCAUAAAUAUUAUAUAAUACUCCAGUUAUUUCAGAACUAUAAACAUACCUGAGCAUUGUUUUUCUUUUUCUGCAUGUUUCUGUAGUGUAUCCUUUAUAGAAACUCGAGCGAUAAUCUGGGUAAACCUCUAGAGAUCCUUUUACCUCAUGUAUGUUUGCUUUGUAUGAAAAAUAUAUUUCACUUACAUUGCUCAUUGGCGGUAUUUUUAUGGAUUCCAGAACCUUGAAAUUUUGAAUCCAUAAAUAGAUUGCUCUUUGAUAUGAAAGGUAGCAUGAAUUGUUUGGCCCUAUGAAUAAUGAGAUAUACUUAGUAUUUUUUAUUGAGAAGAUAGAACAAUUU